CUUGGUCAUUUAGAGGAAGUAAAAGUCGUAACAAGGUUUCCGUAGGUGAACCUGCGGAAGGAUCAUUAUUGAAUGAAACUUCUGGCUGGAUGCUGUUUUGCUGGCCCUUCGGGGGUAAUGUGCACGCCUCUGGUCAUUUGUUUCUUGUUCCACCUGUGCACUGCCUUGUAGGCACACACUGUGUCUAUGAUUAUGUUUAUAUGCACCCUUUAUAUAUAUGCAUGUUCUUUUGGUUUGUAUAAAAUGAGAAUGUUUUACAACUUUCAACAACGGAUCUCUUGGCUCUCGCAUCGAUGAAGAACGCAGCGAAAUGUGAUAAGUAAUGUGAAUUGCAGAAUCCAGUGAAUCAUCGAAUCUUUGAACGCAUCUUGCGCUCCUCGGUAUUCUGAGGAGCAUGCCUGUUUGAGUGUCAACUAAACUAUCAAAACACAACUCUUGAUUGGUGAUGUGUUUUUGGACUUUGGGACUAUUGCUGGCUGUGUCCAGCUGUCCUCAAAAGCAUUCAUUAGCUUUGGAGAUGCAACAGUGUGAUAAAGUUGUCUCUGCUGGUACUUGCAUCUCUUUGCUUCUAGAAGAUUUUUAUGAUGCUUUGACCUCAAAUCAGGUAGGAUUACCCGCUGAACUUAAGCAUAUCAAUAAGCGGAGGA
This 647-nucleotide ribosomal RNA is filed under the name uncultured fungus. RNAcentral's name for it is "eukaryotic LSU rRNA". The stretch from base 259 to 412 matches the Rfam family "5.8S ribosomal RNA". Lineage: Eukaryota; Fungi. The record is from RNAcentral.